RNAcentral lists this long non-coding RNA (264 nucleotides) under Polistes fuscatus (common paper wasp). RNAcentral's name for it is "uncharacterized LOC122523148". The record is from RNAcentral. Lineage: Eukaryota; Metazoa; Arthropoda; Insecta; Hymenoptera; Vespidae.
CUAUUAUUAUUAUUUUAUUAUUAUUAUUAUUAUUAUCCUUUUCCAUCUUCUAACUCUCUGUCAUAUCGCCAUGUGUAACGUCCUCCUAGAGACCGACACGUCUAGUUUGUGCGUCGUGCUUCGUGACAGUGACAAUGAGGCGACGCAAACUUUCUCUCAGCAGUAACAAAGAGGGGGAAGUAUAGAGUGCACAUCAUUAUGCACUUUAACGAGUGACUCCGAGCGUGGAAUAGUCGGACGAUAGAGACACGUGAUCAUAAGAAA